RNAcentral lists this ribosomal RNA (497 nucleotides) under uncultured bacterium. RNAcentral describes it as "partial 16S ribosomal RNA". It matches the Rfam family "Bacterial small subunit ribosomal RNA", at positions 28 to 507 of the family's 1533-position model. The record is from RNAcentral.
GAUGAACGCUGGCGGCGUGCCUAAUACAUGCAAGUCGAGCGAACGGACGAGAAGCUUGCUUCUCUGAUGUUAGCGGCGGACGGGCGAGUAACACGUGGAUAACCUACCUAUAAGACUGGGAUAACUUCGGGAAACCGGAGCUAAUACCGGAUAAUAUUUUGAACCGCAUGGUUCAAAAGUGAAAGACGGUCUUGCUGUCACUUAUAGAUGGAUCCGCGCUGCAUUAGCUAGUUGGUAAGGUAACGGCUUACCAAGGCAACGAUGCAUAGCCGACCUGAGAGGGUGAUCGGCCACACUAGAACUGAGACACGUUCCAGACACCUACGGGAGGCGACAGUAGGUAUGCUGCCGCAAUGGGCGAAAGCCUGACGGAGCAACGCCGCGGGGGUGAUUAAGGUCUUCGGAUCGUAAAACUCUGUUAUUAGGGAGGAACAUAUGUGUAAGGGACAGUGCACAUCUUGAGGGUACCUAAUCAGAAAGCCACGGCUAACUACGUG